CGUGAUGUCUGCCCAGUGAUUAAUUGAUUUUGAUUAAACGGCCGCAGUACUUUGACUGUGCUAAGGUAGCAAAAUAAAUUGGCUUCUAAUUAAGGUCGAGUAUGAAAGGCAUAAUGGGUAAAAGCUGUCUCUUUGAUUUAGAUUGGAAUUUAUUUAAUAGGUGAAAAUACCUAUAAGUUCAUAUUAGACGAGAAGACCCUUAGAGUUUUUAAGAUUUAAGUUGUCUAUUCACUUAGCUUAUGAUUUUUUGUUGGGGCGACAAAGUAUCAUAAAUUUAACAUACUUACAAUUCUGAAAUUGGGAGAACAAGACUUUUUUAAAUAUGAAUAUAACUACCUAAGGGAUAACAGCAUAAUUUAAUAUUAAGAUUGUGACCUCGAUGUUGGACUAGGGACUAAGUGUAUUAGUCAUAC
Molecule: ribosomal RNA, 413 nt
Filed under: Arion sp. NMW.Z
Lineage: Eukaryota; Metazoa; Mollusca; Gastropoda; Stylommatophora; Arionidae
Description: partial 16S ribosomal RNA
Rfam family: Bacterial large subunit ribosomal RNA
Source: RNAcentral